UCCCUUAUAUCUCAUUCGGUAAAGAGUCUGCUUGUGAUGCAGGAGACCUGGGUUCGAUUCCUGGGUCAGGAA
RNAcentral lists this transfer RNA (72 nucleotides) under Bos taurus (domestic cattle). It matches the Rfam family "tRNA". From Rfam's summary of the family: Transfer RNA (tRNA) molecules are approximately 80 nucleotides in length. Their secondary structure includes four short double-helical elements and three loops (D, anti-codon, and T loops). Further hydrogen bonds mediate the characteristic L-shaped molecular structure. tRNAs have two regions of fundamental functional importance: the anti-codon, which is responsible for specific mRNA codon recognition, and the 3' end, to which the tRNAs corresponding amino acid is attached (by aminoacyl-tRNA synthetases). tRNAs cope with the degeneracy of the genetic code in two manners: having more than one tRNA (with a specific anti-codon) for a particular amino acid; and 'wobble' base-pairing, i.e. permitting non-standard base-pairing at the 3rd anti-codon position. The record is from Rfam by way of RNAcentral. RNAcentral also lists the same sequence under 5 other names. Lineage: Eukaryota; Metazoa; Chordata; Mammalia; Artiodactyla; Bovidae.